Long non-coding RNA from Brassica rapa (field mustard), 9598 nucleotides. RefSeq lists it as uncharacterized. The record is from RefSeq and is a predicted model, not a curated record. NCBI's taxonomy places the organism in Eukaryota, Viridiplantae, Streptophyta, Magnoliopsida, Brassicales, Brassicaceae.
CGAAAGUUUGUACUUUCUAUGUUUCUUCCGAAUACCAAGAGGUCCAUAACACAUCGUAUGGCUUUAAUUGCGAGCAUAGAAUCUAAACUUUAGAUUUUCAUUCUGCUUGAUUUCCCGUCUUUUUACUUGAUGAUGAGGAUCAAGCCACCAAUGAACCAAUAAAUUUGCUCGGUUUGACAAGGAGUGGAAAAGAGACAAAAUCUCAUAUCAAAUACCAAGAUUUGGAAGGGAAAACAAUGUAAAAGAGAUGUAAGCAUGAUUGGCGCGGCGGUCGUGGUUCGUGGUACUACUCGCUAGUUGCUCUUUCUCAUUUUAUUUUGGUUCAUCUCUUGUGCUUUAGAAGUUCCAAGGUAUAAAGUAAUUAUAUAUGAAAUAUAUUCAUGUAAGCUUUUUCUCUAUAAAGUUAUUAAACCUUAGCUUAUAAAUAUUUAUAUUUUUAAGAAAGAAAGAAAGAUGUGUAACCAUGUUAAAUUACAUCUCCUAAAGAGAGCAUAUCAUUUCUAACGAGAAUCAAACAUAUGACCAUUUGUACACUGUCAACUUUUCGUUGGAUACAAUUUCACUGUUAUGAUAAAGAAGAUAAAAAGAAACGUAUCUUUUAGCAAUUAUAGUUAAGAGGUUUCAACGAAUUAUUUUAUCAUACCGGAUUAUGGAUAUUAAUUAUUUUCCUUUUCCAUUAUUCUCAGUUAUUUUGUAUUUCCAUUUAAUCAAACUUUUUACCAUCAUAUUUUUGUAGAAAACAAAUCUUUCCUUGACGAUAUUUUGUAUAGUCUGUUUGUACCGAGUUUUGGGUGUUUAGCCGAUUUACAAAUAGGAAAAGAAGCAGUGAAAAAAAAAUGGUGAAAGCAAGUUCACCGGAAAAGUACAAGUCGGCGAGAAGAAGAAGUAAAACCCUAAUUCUAGCCACCAAGAGUCUGUGUAAUUGAUUUCAGAUUGUUUUCUCAGCGUUCUUUUGUUUCUUUCUAUAGUUGAUUUUCGCCAGUGAUUACCCUAGGUCGCUCUAUUUCAUGGGCCUCGGCACGUUGGGCUGAGCGAUUAGGCCGUCGGGCUUGAGCCGCUAAGUCGGUAUACUUUUAGUCGCUUGCGUCACUCGGGUAAAAGUAGUCACAAGCCGAGCUGUUUUUUUGUCGCGUGGCUCCGAGAGCUGAGCUAACACCGAAUUAUAUAUAAUGGGCCGGAUAUGCUAUCUGAUGGGCCUGAUGAAAGGAAGUAAUCCACCUCCUAUAGUACCUUCUAUCUGAUGGGUCCAAUAGAAAGAUGUAAUCCACUUCCUACAUAGUCUUUUUUUUUUUUUCGCUGAAUGAUUUCAGAUGGCGUUGAGUGAAAAGAUUGAAUAUCUAAGUUAAGAACUUAAGAUAUUGAGCGUGUGACUAAACGAACAACAGCUGCGUAUAAGCAUCCGAAUUAUUGUAUCUUUCCACAAAGGAAUUAAGAACUCUGCAAUAUAGCUUUAGUCUUUAGGCUUAUGCAGGAUUCGAACUUUAUAUCAAGAGACUCAAUAUUGACAAAGUCCACACGGACUUUUACGUUUUACCACGACUUCAAAUGUCAUAUAACAUGCAUACUUCAUAAAAUAGUUAAUACGCUAAUAACAGUCACUUGAACUGCAUGCUAUUGUAUUCCUCGUACGUUUCACACAUAUGAUAUUUCUUGAUAACUACGUACGUUACGCACGUUGUGAAAUUGUCAUUAAACUUACUCUAUACGAUAAACAUAUCGCCAAUAGGAAUAAUCUAUAUGCGCUUACGUUGAAGCAAGGUUGUUUCUUUUGUUUGGUCGGAGGCUGAUGAUGUCGACGUAUGCUACUAUCAUAUGAUCGACCAUCUAUCUAGCUACUCCUUGUGGGCAAUAAAACAUAAAAUAAUAUACGAUUAGUUAUUUUAUAAAUGGUAUGCCAGUCUUUCCGCAAAGUCAACGGCUUCUCUAAUCCAAUACAAGAAAAUAUAAUAUUUAUUAACACUAAUCAGGUUUCUUAUUUUAUAUACUUCACUAAAACUUCCCUUUCAUCCACAUUAUCAUCAACUAUUAUAUGAUUUAAACCGACAUUAAUCCAACUAAACUGAAAUUAAAAAUUCACAUAUCUAACAAAUUAUAUGAUAUAAUAGUCCAAACUGCCCCCUACAAGAUGUCAACCGAUUCAGAUGGAUACAUAACUUACGUAUACACAAAUGGUUUUAUUAGCUUUGAAAUUCACAGUCAUUGCUGACCAAAAUAAAGAAAACCAUGCACUCUUUAGAUAUAAACAUAUACAGCGAAACACACAUCUCUAUCUAUGAAUAUAAUCAAUCAUCAAUUCUUGAAUUGACAAAAGAUUUAAAUUCUCAUGCAUGCGUGCCUAAAACUGUACGGGCAAAUAUCGAUGAUCUUGUAUGUGAAUUAUCUAAGUUUGUAAUAACGGCACCCAGCAAAUUUGAAAAACCUACAAUGACAAGGCAAGCAAAAAAAGAGCGUAUGGCGAGAUAUUAAUUAUUACCAAAAGUUGGAAAAAAAGAGAUUAAUUAUUAGAAAAACUUGAGAAAUAAAAUUUGAUAAAUGACAAAGAAACGUUGGACAGAGCCUCCACUUGGCUUCGCCACAACUCAACGCCACGGUGCACACAUCAUCCGGAACUGUAUCUAAUUAAUGUUAAACCAGUGGCUGUAAUCAUGAUUAAGUGCCGUAGGUCUUGUCUCUUGUGGAAAUAUAUAGAUUAUAGUCUUAAGUUCGUUUGAUAUAAUAUAUAUAAUAAUACAAAUACAUCCAAAAAGUGUAGCGCUAAAACUGAACUCAUAGAAUAAUCAUUGCUUAUAUUAAACAAGUCAGUGAUCUGAUGUAUCAAAAUAUCAAAUUAUAUAAAAAUAUUCCAUAGGUACUUUAAUUAAAAUCACAAUAAAAUGGCCAUUUUUUCUUUUAAUAUAAAUACUAAAACCCGUAAAUGGGUAAUCGAAAACAGUAACAUAAUGGCAGUGCUAUAUUACAGGAAGUAAAGCAAAAGGGAACCAACAACAAUAACAUAAAGAGGAAUUGACAAAAAAAAACAAGUAAAAGAGAAAAAAUCAAGAGGGGAGGGGGGAGGAAAGGAAGACUAUGGAGGCAAGCCUCCUCUUCCGAUAAAUAUCGGCGGUAGUAGAUUCAAAUGUUUCAGAUUUCACUAAGGCCGGAGUGUCCAAACCCGCCUUUAGAUCCGUUUUCGUUAUAUCAUCAUAGAAAUCAUUUUGGAGGCGUUCCGCGGCCACCGACACCGUAUUCUAAAAAAAAAAGACUCCUGAAACCCCAACUGCCAUAAGUCGCCAUAGAGUAUCGCUGCUUCACAGUUCGAGCGACCACAUGCUUACCAUAAAUUUAUAACCAUUAUACGAGUCAUACAAAAUGUUAAUAAUGUUUAAAAUCGCAACCAUCCAAAUCUGUAAACUAUGGCAACUGCAUCUCCAACCGUUAUGUUUACACCGGUCAGAUCUUAAAUGGUAAAAGUUUCAACAAAAUUUCUAAUUAAACAUUUUUUGUGUUACUGUGAAUUCAAAUUAGUUUAUUAAACAUACCAUCACCGCUAGAACUGUCACCAAAAAGAAUUGUCUCCAACAAUAAAGAUGCUGCUCUUUUGGAAUAUACUAACGUUAAUAAUCAAGGAGAUUAUAUGUACUGCUCCACAGAAACAACAUGCACUAUAGAAAAAAAAAGAAUAACGUAAUAAUACUUGUGAUGUAUAUUUCACAUAUUGCUUAUUCGAUUUUCAUUAUAUAGCUUUAAAAAGAAUGAUACGUCGGGUCUUGUAAUUUAUUAAAGUUGAGAACGGGGUUUAGCUACCAAAUGAUGUAUUUUUUUUGUCAGCACCAAAUGAUGUAAUAGAAAAUAAAAAAAGGAAAAACAUGUUGUGGACAUGGAAACUCGGUUGAAGGUACGUUUCACGUUUCGGAAACGUUUCAGAAUCGGAAUCUCUCGGAAACUUGCAGAAACGCAUUGGAAACUCGUUUCUUAAAAAAUCUCAGUUUAGAAACUUAGUGGAAACUCGUGUUUCUGUUUUGGAAACUCGUGUUUCUGUUUUGGAAACUCGCAUUUCUGUUCUGGAAACGCUAGAACUUUCCGGAAUUGAUUAUGAUUUGCUGUUAUGAUUUUUAUUUUAGUUAAUUUAUUUAAUAUUUAAGUACUUGAUUUUUGUUAUUUUAAACUUUUUAUAUGAUUUUGAUAUUUAAUGAUGACUUUUUCGUAUGAUUAAAUAAAAUAGCUAUUUGUUUAUUUGUAUUCUAAGAUAUACUAAACAUAAUAUUAAUUAGUUACAUCUAUAUAUAUAUAUAUAUAUAUGUGUGUGUAUUUAUAGACGUUUGUAAAGCGUUUCCAAAGCAAAAAAAAUCAAAAAUCACGUUUCUACGUUUCGAAACGUUUCGUCUCUGCGUAUCUGUUUCCGUUUCCAUGCAACCUAGGUGGAUACAAAUUGUAUUAUUCAAAAGUUUACAAGGCAAACACAACAUUAUGAUGAUGUCCAUUAAAUUGUGGAGUUAUAUUUAUUUUAAUAUAAUGUAUAGAAAAAAGAAUAUAAGUUUCUCUGCAAAUUGAGCAUCCACAUGCUGCCAUGCUAUGCCUCUCCACACGCGUGUUUGAGACCCAAACAAAAGUACGGCAUAGUUUAAUCUCCCUAAAUCAAAAUUAAAUGCGUUGAUAAAAAAAAUAUUAAGGAAAACUAACAGUAACAACCUUCUCAUAUUUUUUUCUUGUUACAUAAAUCCAUACUGAUUUACCGGUUUACCAUGAUCAAAUUUCAAUAGACUAAUAUUUGAGAUUUUUACAAGACAUUUGGUCAUCGUAGAGUUGGAAGGCCAAAAUUUGAGUUUUUACAAUUCGAUUUGCGGUCACAGUUCUCCACAAAAUGAAUUAUUAGCAAGUUUCUGUAAUUUUUAUUUUUAAAUGUCAAACAUCAAUGAGUUGUUAGAAGGGUUCAUUAAACUCAACAUCACAAAUUUUAAAGAAAAUCAUUUUAUAGUAUACAAUGUAUUUACCAUUUAUGUAUAUAAUUAAUUUUGAUUUUUUUUUUUUCGAAACAAACUAGCUAGCAACAAUUAUACUAUUGAAAAGAGGUCGAUUAGUUGUAGAUUUAUAUAGCUUUCUGGGAUUUUCAGUUAGUUUUAUACAGUUAGAGGCUGCAUUAAUAAGUUAGGGGAAUUUUUAAACAUAACUUCGUUUGAUUUUAGCAUAUCUGUUCGAGUUUACGUAAUACGUACGUACACUUAAAUAAUUUUUCUACGAAAAAAAUAAAAUUCUACUGAUCAACUUUAUUGUGCAGUCAUUUAGCAUUAAAAAAAACUUUAUUGUGCAAUAAAUUCUCGGACAUAAUUUGAGAUUCAAGCUAGUUUGGGCUUGGACUAAAUAAAAUAGCAAUGGGCCAUUUCUAUAAGCUCACUGAUAAAUACCAAAAUUAAUUAUUCUCGGGACCAUUUAGGAUUGCGUCCCCCCACCCACCAUGUAGAAACUGUUUUCAUAAAUUCGGGUAAUCUUUAAACUUAAUAAUACAUGAUUUACGUCUUCCACAUAUAGUUAGAGUGGCAGGAAAAUCAAAGUAGCGCCUAAAUCUUUAUUGUUGGGUCGCAAAUGUGCAAGGAAAAUGGACAUUGAGAUGCAACGCAUGAUAGUUGAUAAAAGGUUAGUUUUAGAACCAAAUAGAUAAGGGGAAUCUAUUAGGAAAAUCAUAUAUGUUCUAAAGCACAUUAGAAAUAUAUAACUCCCUGAAGCAGGCGAUUCAACCGGGAAAAGAAAGCCCUCGCCUCUCUGCAGGUGACGCCGAGAUAAAGGCUUGUCCUCAAGCCCUCGUGAACAUCAUAGGAAGCAAGAAAGAGAAAUACAAACGAGAUAAAUCGCUAUGGUUUUUGUCUCUCAAACUAAGGAACAAAGGUUCUCGGUGGCUUACCUCGAAACCACCUUUCACUCGAUUUGAGAGGUGAAGCUUUGUGGAGACCUCAGACAAGCCGCUAGUGAAAACCUACUAGAGCGAGACGACAGGUGCAUGAACGACGACGGUGGCGAAUGUUCCGGCGGUCCUGGAUCUCAAAGCUGACCCAGCUUUGAGCUUUGAGUGAAGUCGGUGACUAACAUGAGAUCCAAGGUCCGAGAAAUAACUCAUAUUCUUCUCGCUUUGCCGGUGGUCCGGAGGUAACCAAAAAUGCCUUUGAAAACCGACUAUCCGGUGGAGAAACGACCGGAUCCAGAGUCACCAAACAAGGAGAAAAUAGGUGAAUCGAUCAACAAAGGGUGAGGUGGAGAUGGACAAAGCGGGAGACUCGUGGGCCCUCUCACAACACCAUGCCAUACAGCGACGGAGAGGCUGAGCAGGAGGCAAGAUUAAGAUCGCAGAGUCUUAGACUAUCUCCAACCCAUACCUAUUUUUUCCUCUAUAAUUUCCACAAAAAUAGAGUAACUCUAUUAUAGAGUAAGUUUUGCUCCAAUGGUUUACUCUAUAAUAGAGUUACUCUAUUAUAGAGGGGAAAAUAGAGGGAUUUCAUUUUUUCACUCCAUAUUAGUAACUCUAUUAUAGAGUAAACCAUUGGAGCAAAACUUACUCUAUAAUAGAGUUACUCUAUUUUUGUGGAAAUUAUAGAGGAAAAAAUAAGUAUGGGUUAGAAAUGCCCUUAGAGAAUGAUAAAAAAAUUUAGGGGUGUGUUGGGUCACGCGCGGGAUUCUCUUCUUGAGACACUGAUUAAGUUCUUAUGUGUAUCGUGUACAUGAUGGUAGUGCUCAUAAACAAUUAGCCCCUACUGCUUGUAGACAGAAUUGUGGUGGAACGAUCACUCCUCAGAGGCGGAUCUAGAAAAUAUUUUGAGUGGGGCAUAAAUUAUUUAAUAAAAAAUAUUUUUACUUAAUAAUAUUAUAUAAAUAUUUUCUUUAUUUUUAAUAAGGAUAACAUAUAGAAAAUAAAAUAAAUUACUAAAAAAAGGUAACAAAAACAUGUUUGUAACUAAAUGAAAAUUAAGAAAGAAAUUACUAACAAAAUACACAUGAAAGUACUAGAAUCUAAACUAUUAAAGCAGAAUCCCAUCAUGCCCUUAUAGUUUCAAUUUAUUUACAAUGGCAUGCCAUUGCUUAUUUUUAGGAUUUUUUAAUUAAUUUCGUCUAUUAAAUAAGGAAACAAAUUUUUUGAAAAUAAUUUUGUUUACAUAUACAAGUUUAUUAAAUAAUGGCACAAAAAAUAAAAAAAUAAAGGUAAAUUAAGAAAAUGAGACCAUGAUAUUGUUUUGGUAUGUUAGUCAAGAAAGGUAAAGAUACAAAUUUAUUCUUGAUAAUUUAUUUUGAAAAAAAAAAACUAUUUUUUUUUAUUUUUAUACUUAUAGAUUGUUUCAUUCAGAGUCAGAUUCACUCACACGAAUUAAAAUAAUUCAUCAAUAGGUUUUGGGUUAUAUGAUCUUAUUUUGAUCAUUAAACAAAUCAAGACCAAUGCAAAACAGAAAAAAAAAACGAAUAAUUUUUUUACCUAUCAAAAUUUACUUAUGUGAUUUGAAGGUGUGAUCUACAACACAGUGAACUUCUCUUUAAAUCCAAUAUCUAGGUUCCAUCUAUUAACAAAUUACAAUUAUAAUUUAUCUUCUUUUCUUAUAAACAUAUACAAUCAUCUCCUUUUAUCAAAAACAAAUCAUCGCAACUAUAAAUGUAACUAAGUUAUAAAUAUUUUAAACACACAUAUAUCUUUUCAGUAAAAAAUAUAUCCUUUCAAUAGAAUUUUUGAAAGUAAAUAAAUACUGUGCUUUUAAUGCGCAAUCAAAAUCUAGUAUUUGUUUAAAACAAAAUAUUUUAAAAUAAAAUAGUUUUUGAUGAAAAAAAUCAGGGAACAAAAACUGUAAAAGGGAUAAAUACAACACGUGGAUAAAGAAGGAAAAUUAGAGAAUAAAAGAAAGAAAAAAAUCAGUUAAAAAAUGGCCGGAAGGGCUUCGUACCCGAGUUUGGAGGGGGCAGAAAGAGGGAUUUAACCAACUCAGCUACAUAAACUAAAGUAAUCCUUUUGUACUUUUAAUUAACUUAUAGAAUUUACUGAGGACAGCUGCCCUCCUCCUGUAAAGGAUAGAUCCUCCCCUGUCACUACUAAUCCAGUCAGCGGGCCGUGAAGACUAAAUUGAGCAAGUAAUGAAGGCCAGACGAUAUGCUGACAAAAACGCUUCCCAAAUAUUUACGUAUUUUAUGCUUUGUGAGACAAAUAAAAAGGGGUUCUGAUGAAGACAAAAAAAGAUGUAAAGACAAACUAACUAGUAGAAUUACUGUUAGGCCUCCUAGAUUUACUAACCUUUAUCAAAUGAAUUGAGAGAGUUAACCAAUAAACACAUUAGGUGAUAAAUACAGUAGCCAAACGUGGCCAUAGUUGAUUAGUUGUCACUAAAUGUUACAUAAUGUUGAUGAUUAUGGUCCCUCUUAAUGGAAAAUGACCAACAAUUAUUUUGGAAACAAACACUUCUAUAACAAUAUGUAAUUGUUAAAUUCAAAAAGUUAAGAGGGAGAAAAACCACUAAAGCUGCACCCUCUAGUUCACACCAGAGAAUGCUAUAAGUCGUCUCUGAUGGAGUCUUUCUUUAACCCUUUCCUCUGGCCACCGACAAAGUUGAACAAGUGGGGGCGUCAUGACUCUUCUCAAGUCCUCUUGUCACAUCAGCACCAACAUGAUCAUGACACGUAGUCUUUGCAUGUGUCUGAUUGGUCACAAAGUCAAUGCCCUCACUAGAUCGCAUGACAUCCUAACUUAAUCUCCAAGAAAUGAUCUCGACCGUUACUUCUCCACCAUUGCUGACCACUCACAAAGUUUAGCCAUCUAACAGCAGUUUGAAAUCAUCUCAACCGUUGUCUAUCCUCUUAAGAAACGAUCUCAACCGUUGUCUUUUUUCUUACAAAUGUCUCACCUAACCUAAUAAUGUAGUAUAUUUGCCGUUUAACGAAAUUGAUUUUCCAUGGAGUUGUAUAUAUAUACACACACUCCUAAUAUAAUUUCCCACUAAUCUCCGAUCGCCUCAUGGCGACGGCAAGAUCACCCUCGUCUUUCUCCCCUCACAUUUUCUUCUCCAUUUUCAACAGACGACGUACCAACCUGUAUCCCUACGCACGGCCUAGAUAAACUCGUCAUCAUACCACGUGCCGCGGAGAGAAAGCAUGACGAUUCGUCGAUCUCACCUCUCGUUUUCUUGCCGAGAUCAUCAACUCCGACAAAAUGAAGGUCCAUGGGGAAUUGCACAUCAACGCAAAUCAGGUUACAAUGCUGGAGCGUCGCACACCUCCCCAUAUUUGAUGCGGCGUCUUUCUUGAAAGAGCUGGCACUGUAGAUGGUGGGAAAUGCCGCGACCCUCACGCAUCGUAGUUUGAUUCUUGGUGACGUGCUAUUUCUUGUAGACUUACAUCUUGUCGGAGUUUAUGAUCUCUGCGCGCAAACGAGUUACGUGAUCGACGGUAAGUCGUGAGCUUCCGCCGCCGCUGACUCCAUGGAUGCUGAACACGUUUAUCUUUCCGAUUCCAAGGCGCGUGUCUUUGUUACGGCUUGUUUUUUGUUUGUUAUGUUUUUGAAACGAUGUUACAAUGCACCACAGUAAAAUCUACCACACCUAGCAUCUUUUAAUUGUGAUUCCUAUUUGUUAAUUUCAAGAAGCAUCUACAAUCUUGAAUC